CCCAUAGUACACUUGAUCAAUUAAGUCAUUGUAAGACCCAGCAGGUUCUCCAUCAGGUGUUGCAAAUGGAACAUACUCAUAAGGAACUGCAUAAGGCAUGUUUUCCAUUACAGCAUCGAAAACAUCAAUGCAGUACCCUUUAAUUGAUUUUGCUUUCUGAUUGAGAGGAUCCCACACUACCUCAAGAAAUUCACUAAAACCACCUUUCACUGGAACCCCAAUUCUCAAUUUCUUCCCACUCGUUGGGGUCUCCCAACCUUUGGGAACCAAGGUAGUAUCCCCUGGCCAUAUAAUGGGACCAAGUUUUGGCUUAGAAGUAUUCGGGCUUGUGUUUGUCAAAUCCAAUUGUCUUACAAGUCCAUUUUCGGGUGUCCAGAACCCGACCCUUCUUUCCCCACUUCCAAUUACGUUAACUAUCUGGAACACGGAUGAUUGUAAUUGCCCAUUAACAAAAUAAAAGUCUCCGGUAAGGCCUCUGAAUUUAGACUUUGAUAAUUCCUGGAUGAGUCGUGGACCAUUUUGUGAGACUCCCAAAGUUUCAAGGUCCGUUGCAGAACUGCUGGAAAUAUCUGGUUUGUUGAAGUGGAGGUUUGCAGUGCCAGCUUUCUCAAUUGCCAUUGCCAGAGCAAAAGUUGUAUCAUAAGCCCAUAGUCCCACAAUGUUCAAUUCAGAAUUAAUGGAGUCCGGAUUCUCUUGCUGGAACUUCCUUCUCCAGCGAACUGUAAAAUUUUCUAGCUUUUUUGGUUUAGGAACAUAAGACUUCACACCUACAACCCCCUGCAUGGAAUCGAUGGGCGAGGCAUCUAUUGAUCUCCACAGAUUAGUCAUCGCAUCAGUCAUGAUCCAAACAUACCCUUCACUCAUCAUUCCAAUCUCUUUUGCUUUGGCCAAAAUCCGACUGCCAAGAGACAUUGUCAUGUGCACAAUGAACACUCUUGUUUGCAUGGUCAUUAACUUGUAAAGCUCUUCAGCAAUUUUGUCAUCCGUAGCUAACGCAGAAAUGACACUCAGAUAUGGGACGCGAGUGUUGAUCUCCUGUAAGGCCUCCGUCAAGUAAGGUAUAAGGCUCUCCCGAUGCUGGUUGUCAACGUAGAUGGGUACAGCUUCUCUCCAUCCAAAAGCCUGGACAAUUGCACUUAUCGCUUUCACUUGAUUUGAGCUACUUUGUGCAGCAAGAAAAAAGUAUGGACUCUGGAGGGAAGUGAGAGAAGGACUUGUUGCAGAAAACGAUAUGAUGGGAAUCUGAGAUUUGUUUCCGAGAUUGAUAACAAAGUUGGCUUGCAUUGAACUUCUCGGUCCUAUGAUUGCUUGCACUUGUACAUUUUUCAUCAAGUCGAGAGCUGUUCACCAAGGGAAUUGACAAAAAUUCUGACUUAAUUAUUCAUCCUGAAAGAUUUAACAUGCUACAGGAAGAAUAAACAUUAAAAAAUAAACAUGGCAUUGGUCUGCUGACUCGGUUAAAAAAUAAAUGUCAGUCUGACUUGAAAAUUGAUAGCUAUUAAAAAUAUUAGCACGCAGUUGUGCGAUGAGCAACGAGCAAUGACCAUGGAGGGAAGAUCUUUUCUAAUCACAUCACGGUCAAUUGUUUUUUUAUUACAAUUAGUUGGAGGUCAAUUCUUCUGUCAGAGUAUUUUACCUAGUAAGUCAGGGAUUGGUCAUUGGUGCAUACAGUAGGUUAGUAUUAUCGAUGUCUGGGGUACUCCUACAACCAAACAUUUUUCCCUGUCAGUAUUAUCAACCAUCUCUUUCCAUCUGCUGUCAUGAACGUAAUUUAAGGAGAAAUAAAUUAAUGGCGGAAUCAUUUAGGUUAGCGACGGUUUGGGUUUAUUGCUGGCGGACGGAGAGAGCCUAAGGCUUCUGCCUGAGAGAGUCCCUGACUGUGAUCGCUUGUGUAUAUAUAAAUGAUGCAUGCUUUCAUAAGCAAAGCAAAAAACUUCUAUAUCCAAAUAUACAUCAAAACGUCAUACUGGUUCAAAAAGCAGAAGAUAUCGGACUAAUUUUUUCAGGUGUUUUAGAGAGAAAAGUAAAAGGAAACAAAAUGGACUGAUUAUAUGUUAGUAAUAGUUUCAGAAAUCAAUCGAAAGAAAUUAAGUUAUGGGUACAUUGUGUAAUAAAACUUCAUUUGAUAAUGUUCAUAGAGAAAUGUAAUAAGCACCCACAACCUUGACAAGGUGAUCGGAGCAGCCAGAAAACGGAGGAAAAAAUUAAAAUCAAACUACUCUACAUCGAUAUUUUGCUAUCUCAGUAGCUUAAUUUCAUCAAGAAUAACAGAAUAAGUUCAAAUAAAAAGGUGAGUCGAAGAAGAAGAAGAAGAGGGAGAGAACGCACCGGCAUCAGCUGCGGCGGCGACGCCUUUCUUGGAGUCCCUGAUGUUCAAGACCAUCCUGGUUUUGUAGUGAGCAUGAGUGUCAUAAAAGUCUGAGAGGGCCAUGUUGAUGCAACUCAAACCAAUCUUCCCAACCAAGGAAUCCAAGUCAAGAACCACACCUACGUUAACUUGGCUGGUUGUGUUUUGAGUCAGGACCCCUUCUAGCAAGAAAAUGAAGACACAGAACAGAUUAAAUAUGGGUUUGGUACAGCUCCUCAUCAUCUUUGGAGCUGAUCUUCUGCUCUUGAACACGGUUUUCCCACAGACAAAUAUCUGUACUUAUAGGAAUAGGAUGACAGAUUUGAAAAGUAGUAUGAAUAACACGUCUAGACGAAGAAGUAGUAAACAAAUACAGUGCAUGGGGAUACAAAAUUAUUUAGUCUUGGAAUCAUUGAUCCUUUUGCUUUUUGUUAUUUUCUAUAAAAAAAGUUUAAACAUAAAAAACAAAAAAAAAAUCAAUGAAAGGAAACUUGUAAGCAUGACUUGUAAUCUUUCUAAUUAUCCCUAAACACGUGAUUCAUUGACUAUUAAAAGGUAAUUAAUUACUUCUUUUGGUCUUCUAAAAAGCUUAGACUUCUUUCUUUAUGUUUGAGAAAGACGUGUGUAUAAACUUAUUUAUAUAUUUUUUUAAUAAAACUUCAUGGAUUGUAUUUAAUUAAAGUCAUAUAUAAAGAAACCAUGAACACGUUAAUUCAGAAGGUUUUUCAACUUUUUUUUUUUGAAAUAAGGUCCAAAUUUAAUAUUUUAUUUAAGGUGAUGGGUCAAAUUUCUCAUUUAUCAUUGAAUGAUUUAAAUUUUCUCAUUUAUACCUUUUAAUUAAAUUAUAAAAUAUAGUGAUAAAAUUGUAUUCAUACAAAAAUUAAAGAUAAAUUCGAAUCUGAUCCCAAUUUUUUUAAAUGGGGACGUAUAUAAAACAAUUCUAAAAAAGGGUAAGAAUAAAAAAAAUUAAGUUCAAAACGUCGAAAUAUAACUAUAUUCUUAUACUUUUUAAACAAAGGAGUAUAACAAAAAAUCCCUUUCUGGAAUUUAAACCAAACCAUGCUUAAUUAUAAUCUUAAAUUGAUGAAUUGGUUUUAUACCAUCCCCGUCCCUUAUUUUGUUAACUAACUAAGCGUGAGUUAAGCCUUUUUUUUUUUUGGCCAAGUGAGUUAAGCUCUUGAAACAAAAAAAAAUGAUUUAAUACAUAUUCAUGUAAUAACUUUUAAUCAUAUAUCAUAUUUUGAUUUAUCAAAUUUUAUAAUUGACGUGAUAGAAACUCUCCAUUUAAUAAUUUCUCGUAGAAUAGAUUAUAGAGUUCAAACAAUUGUAAUAAAAUCUGUUAAGUACAAGCUGAAAACAAAAUAAUAAUAUAAAAAUCUAAGUUCUUUAUUCCAUGGAUGUGGAACGACUAGUUUAAUUUAAUAAUAGGGUUCCCAUCAGUUGGAAUGGGGCAACAGGAGGACUUGUCAAGGAGAGAAGGGAAAAUUACAGGAGUGGAACGUAAAUGGCCUUCAAAUACGACUGCAGCAUUUUGUCUUCUUAUGUAAUUAACGUUUACCUUGACCUAAUCAAUGCAGAAUCUUCUGCUCAAGAAAGAGAAGACAAACUCUAAUUCUAGUAAUGAAGACUGCAAAUUGAUGUAGUAUUGACGAAUGGUUUGGUUUUCUUGCUGGUUUAGGCCAUCAUUUUCCAUAUCAAUCAACAAAUCAUUUAUUGUUGAAUUAAAUUCGAAAUUAGGUAUCUUUUCAAUGUGUAAUGAUCAAUCAAGAUCCUGAGAUAAUGAUAAUGAGAUUAAUAGUUUAAGGAAAAGUAUGGGUAAUGUCAUUGCCAAAUUUGGUAUUUAUUGAAAGUAUGAAACGAAAUUUUAUAUUUUUUUUCGUAGAAUGUCAAGUUGAAAUUUAAGCUUGAUUGUUUAAUUACUUGUUAAGUAUCCAGUUGUUUUCGUUUCAGGAUUCUUGACUUAUAUCAAUUUGAUAUAUAUUAAUAAAAAUUCUUUAGUUUGAGAAAAAAAAUUAUUUACAGUACCAAAAAAUCAAGUGGAGACAGCUAGGCCCAUGGGGAUUCCAUGAUAAUGUAAAACUGAGAAAGGGCAGAAGGUCAGAUCUAGCCGUAAAGGUUAGACCAAACUUCGAUGUUGGUUUCUGUAAGAAAACGAAAAGAAAGACUUGACAAACAAAAUGCAGCUUUGUUCUUAACGUUGUUGACUCGAGCAAGCAAAACGUGUGAAGUUUUUUUUUUUGGGGGGGGUUCUUCAUACAAAACGAGUGAUGAUUACUAUGGAGAAACAUUCAAUACGUAAAGAGAUGGAAAUUCCAUUUCGUUAAUUUAAAAUUUGUAGAAUUGGUAAAUUAACUUGUUAUUCUCUUUGACUAAAAAGAGAAGAUCACUUGAACUUGAUCAAAUGAAUAAAAUUAUUGAUAAUCAAACCAAAUUGUGACAUAAUUUUCACUGAUGGUAUUAAAUCUUAUAGUGGUAUUCAUCAUUAGAAGAAAUUUCAAGCUUUAACUUGAAUAAUUUAAAACAUGGAGUAGUUUUGAUUUAUUUAGAUUUUAAAAGUUAUUUAGUUUUGAGUUAUUUAGUAGUCUUAAAAAAUUUCAGAACUAUUUUCGAAAAUUCAAUUAAAUUUUUAUUUUUUAUUAUGUUAAAUAAAAUCUUGAUAUUUUUAUUUUUGAUUACAUAAGUAUUUAUGAUUAAUAGUUUACUUAUUAUUAUUAAUCAAAAUGGUAUAUAUCACUUUUAUAUUCAUGUAAUAUUGACAUAGAUGAUAAAAAAUGUCAUAUAGUUAUGUCAUUAUAUUUAUAAUGACAUGUCAUCAUAUGAUAUGAUAUGUCAUCAUACCACACUAACACCUCAAUUUGAAGAAUACCAUACUAACACCUCCUGAUGAUGAACUCAAUUUGAAUACAAGUAUUUUAAAAAUUACUGUAUAACAUCAGUUGUAAUUAAUAAUGACAUUUACCUUUAAUAAUCUCAGUAGUCAAGCAAAUUUUCCUAAGUCAGAAAAUUUAGUGUAAAUAAGAAACUUGAAUUAAAGUUACUCGACGGUGACUCAAAACUUUUAAAAGAAUUUUCCCAAUUUUUUGCUUAUUUAUCUAAUCGAAUGCUCUAUUCUAAUCUGUCCCAAUAUAUAUAUAUAUAUAUAUGUUCAACUUUUACAAAUUAGAGUCAAUGAAAUUUGUUUAGAAACAACCGUGCAUAUGUAUUUGGGACCAUUAUCUUGAUACUUCUGACCCUUAGACUUUGAAUUUUCUUUUAAGGCUUAUAUUUGAGAUAUCGAUGAUAAUAAAAAAUUUAUAAGUUGAGAACAUAUAAUAUACAGAUAGUACUCUUUCUUAGAAGUUUCUUUCAAUUACAAAGCUUGACUAGCAGGAGCGAAGCAAUCCACCUGUUUCCUUUUUUUUCUCAUAUACUCUGUCAAAUUUCUAGUAAGAUUUGAUUUUACUGCAUCAGUUUCAUUUUUGGAGAAAAUGUUUCAGUUUCUCUUGAAUAUGUUGUUCCUGCUCCACUUACCAAAAAAAUUAAUGAUGAUCAAAGUAGGUAGUUUUCACUAGAUGAUAGCAAACUAGCAUAGGUUGGUUUCAAUUGUUGUAAAAACAGAAAACAGGGAUAUCUUCCUCAAAUUGUGAACAAUUUUGGUGCGGAAUGGAUUUUCAUGUACAACCUGCAAAAUCCUAUUGAAAGUUGGCUUCCUUUUCUUGUUUAAAAAAAAGUUAAUUUUCAACCUGGAAGCUGGAGUACAGAUACAUUCUAGUCCGAAACACAAACAGGGGGCUCUGUUAACCAGGAAACGGCUAGCUAGAAGCUAAUUGAAGUACGGAGCUCAUCAGCUCCACUUCCAACUAUGAUGCUAUACCGAUACUAUACAUGAAUUUACAAUAUUUUCUGCUCAUGGGUCAUUUCUGUUGGCUAGCUCAAUAGAAGAUCUUUCCGGGGAAGGGAAUGUCUCUGGAGAUGCUGAUCCACUUGGAGUCAGAUCACCAUGCCCUGUAAACCUUCCCUGGUCUACAAAGAAAACAAACUGUGAAGAAUGUGUCUGGCUUGAGUAGCUUGAUGGAAUUGGGGGGCAGUUAGUGUUUGGUGAGCUUCCAACAACACCAAUGCUGUGAACACUGUGAGUGCUGCUUGCAUCUCUGACUUCGCUUUUUCUGAAAGUAUGGGAGCUCAGGUCUUUCUGGUCAAAGAUUCUCGACAUAAUUCGGAUUCUUCUCCACACUGAAGUAUCAUGGAACUGAAACAAGACAUGCCGUUGUUCGUGCAAGAACAUUGCUGAAUAUAUGAUGAGAGCUGACAUAGAUGCAGUCCCAGCAAUUAGGAACAGGCCCCAAAAGCUCUCCAGACCAAGACUGCUUGAAGAAACAGAAGGGUCAACGUCAGGACAGACAGUUCCCUUCUUUAACCAAAAGUUUUCAAUUUGUUCCAUUUUGUCACUUUCAGUAACAUUAAGGAUUGCCCUUGAAACAUCUGCUACAAGAGGGGAACCUUUAGGGAAGGCCUACAAAAAGCAACAUAAAUAAAAAUCAGCAUGAAACAUUAAGCAUAUCAUAUAGAAUGAAGGAAGCUAGAGAGAAAGAGAUUGACAGAGAACUCACGAAUCCAAAGCCAGCGGUUUUAAAUGUUGGUUCUACUGUAGUAUAUUUGCCGCAGUAUUUAGAAAGAAAUAGCUUAAUAUAAGGAUUUUCAUCCAAAGCAGCAGAAAUACCGCCAUUGGCACUUCCUUUGGUAAAAAGUUCAUGAAGUUCUUCUGGAGAAUUAUAUUUCUUGAGCUGGAAGUUUUCAAAUUUCAAACCCAACAAGAUUCCUUCAACGAAGCAGCCAUUCAAUAAGCCAACGCUCUCCCUUCUCUUCACGAGCUCAUUGAUAUCAGUUACAGUGGGCUGGAGCUGCUCAACUGUUAAAAGAGAGCUCAAAUUUGCCGUAUAACUUUGGGUGAGAACGAGAACGACGAAACACCAUACAAUUACCACAAAUCUAGCCAAAUUGCUAACAACUUUCUCCCCUGUAAUAUUUUUCAAUUCAAGAACAAAAAAAUGAGGUUUAAAAUGUUGGAUCGAAAUGCAAUAUGUUUAUAAAUUGAAAAGGUGAAAGGGGUUAUUACGAUAGGCAAACACCAUGGUUGAGAAGGAGAACCAGAAGCUGGUGCCGAUUUGAUGUGCAGGGGGUCCACGGAAAUCCUCGUUUAUUCUGUGCUCGAGAAUCCAAACAACAAAUCCGAUGAAGACAACGAAGCAACCGCUCGUUACCCAGAGGUCCCAUGUCAAAGGCUUUAAGAAAACCCAUGCAUUCUUUUCCUUGUUAUCUUUGAUUGGCACGAUCAUCGACACACCAGAUUCUGUGUAUGGCAAGGUGAAGUCCACAAACAAUGACCUGUUUGCCACGAUUGUUGUAUCUCCUACCACAGCGUCAUAAUUCUGCUCAUAGCAGUCAAUGGUCAAAAGAGAAUAAAAUAAAUUGAAGCUAUGCAUGAAACCAUAGUGGUGAAUUAUAGCAAUAGACAAAAGGAUUGAAGGAGGAGACUUACCCCAUAGUACACUUGAUCAAUUAAGUCAUUGUAAGACCCAGCAGGUUCUCCAUCAGGUGUUGCAAAUGGAACAAACUCAUAAGGAACAGAAUAAGGCAUGUUUUCCAUUACAGCAUCGAAAACAUCAAUGCAAUACCCUUCAAUUGAUUUUGCUUUCUGAGUGAUAGGAUCCCACACUACGUCAAGAAAUUCAGUAAAACCAACUU
RNAcentral lists this long non-coding RNA (8071 nucleotides) under Theobroma cacao (cacao). RNAcentral describes it as "long non-coding RNA (TCAC_LNC005048)". The record is from RNAcentral. Lineage: Eukaryota; Viridiplantae; Streptophyta; Magnoliopsida; Malvales; Malvaceae.